AUGGGUAAAAUAUCCCAUUUUCAUAACCCUGUUGUUUCUGCCCCCAAACCCCACGCUCCUGCCCUGGGGCUGCACCCCGAGCUUUCAUUUCCCCUACACACCGACCCCUUCCUAAACCACCUCAACCCAGGACUUCCCCCCCACACCCCGCUGGCUCCCCACCAGCCCCCAGCUGCUCGUGGGACCCCCCGCGGGCACAUCCCCGUGUUAAAGCCCUCCUGUCCCCGGUGCCACCAGCAGCCACCGGUGCCACCAGCGUGGCCGUGGCCAGGAGCUGCCCGCAGCCGGUGCCGGGGCCCGCUGCCUGCAGCGCUGCCGUUCCCGGCACGGACGGCAGAGGCCAGGCCAUGGCCGCUGCAGGCGCUGCUGGGAGCGGGGUGGGAGCCGUUCCCCGCAGCAGCAGGGGAUGCUCAGCCUCUGGCAGUGCUCAGCACCCUCGUGGCACCCGCAUCCACCCCACAUGUGUCCCCUGGGUGCCCAGCGCGGUGGCACCGCUGUCCUCGCCGCCCAGCCCACGCUUUCCGUCCCCGUGUUGGGAUGUUGGCGUGGGGGCGAAGCCCUCCCCGAGCCGUUCCCGCUGGCCUCGUGGUGCUGGUGGUGGUGGUGCCACCCCCCUGUGCUGUCCUCAGAGCUGGUCACGGCGUCCUCGCCCCCCCGUCCCCCGCUGCACAAUGGGCUGGCACCGUCACCUGCCCGUGCCGUGCUCGGGGGCUGCCCCAGCUCUGCCCCCUUUGGGAAUUCAGGGAUGUUCCUGGGCACCUCCAGCCCCGGGCAGCUGGGGACCCCCUGCUGCUGCCCCCAGAGGUGCUGGGACCCCCCUGGGUCCUGUCCCUGUCGCAUCCCCCCCCCAGCCCAUGGGCCUGGGGAAAUCCUACUUGUGCCCCCUUCGAGUGCUGUUUCCUCCCUCCCUCGCUCCUCGGCCAGCCUGCAGUGGGGAAGCACUUAGAAAUAAAACAAUCCCUAAUGAAAUUAAAGGUUGGCAAUCAAAGACGGGCUGCUGGGAGCUCCCCUGCUGGGUUUUCACCUUCUUUUAUUGCUUUCCAGGGAAAAAAACUCUGGUAUGCCUCUGGGGCGAUGCAGCCGGGCAGGACAGGGCAGGGGCUGGGAGCUGCCCGCUCCCUUCGCUGCCUCUCACAGACCAUGGGGAUUUUCCUCCCCCUGUGA
RNAcentral lists this long non-coding RNA (1164 nucleotides) under Anser cygnoides (Swan goose). Its description in RNAcentral is "lncRNA (ENSACDG00005005338.1)". Lineage: Eukaryota; Metazoa; Chordata; Aves; Anseriformes; Anatidae. The record is from RNAcentral.